Molecule: ribosomal RNA, 468 nt
Filed under: uncultured bacterium
Lineage: Bacteria
Description: partial 16S ribosomal RNA
Rfam family: Bacterial small subunit ribosomal RNA
Source: RNAcentral
GACGAACGCUGGCGGCGUGCUUAACACAUGCAAGUCGAACGGAAAGGCCCUGCUUUUGUGGGGUGCUCGAGUGGCGAACGGGUGAGUAACACGUGAGUAACCUGCCCUUGACUUUGGGAUAACUUCAGGAAACUGGGGCUAAUACCGGAUAGGAGCUCCUGCUGCAUGGUGGGGGUUGGAAAGUUUCGGCGGUUGGUGAUGGACUCGCGGCUUAUCAGCUUGUUGGUGGGGUAGUGGCUUACCAAGGCUUUGACGGGUAGCCGGCCUGAGAGGGUGACCGGCCACAUUGGGACUGAGAUACGGCCCAGACUCCUACGGGAGGCAGCAGUGGGGAAUAUUGCACAAUGGGCGGAAGCCUGAUGCAGCAACGCCGCGUGCGGGAUGACGGCCCUCGGGUUGUAAACCGCUUUCGCCUGUGACGAAGCGUGAGUGACGGUAAUGGGUAAAGAAGCACCGGCUAACUACGUG